RNAcentral lists this ribosomal RNA (581 nucleotides) under uncultured bacterium. RNAcentral's name for it is "bacterial SSU rRNA". It matches the Rfam family "Bacterial small subunit ribosomal RNA", at positions 57 to 654 of the family's 1533-position model. The record is from RNAcentral.
GCAGUCGACGAGAGAGAGGAGCUUGCUCUUCAAAUCGAGUGGCGAACGGGUGAGUAACGCGUGAGGAACCUGCCUCAAAGAGGGGGACAACAGUUGGAAACGACUGCUAAUACCGCAUAAGCCCACGGCUCGGCAUCGAGCAGAGGGAAAAGGAGUAAUCCGCUUUGAGAUGGCCUCGCGUCCGAUUAGCUAGUUGGUGAGGUAAUGGCCCACCAAGGCGACGAUCGGUAGCCGGACUGAGAGGUUGAACGGCCACAUUGGGACUGAGACACGGCCCAGACUCCUACGGGAGGCAGCAGUGGGGAAUAUUGCACAAUGGGGGAAACCCUGAUGCAGCGACGCCGCGUGGAGGAAGAAGGUCUUCGGAUUGUAAACUCCUGUUGUUGAGGAAGAUAAUGACGGUACUCAACAAGGAAGUGACGGCUAACUACGUGCCAGCAGCCGCGGUAAAACGUAGGUCACAAGCGUUGUCCGGAAUUACUGGGUGUAAAGGGAGCGCAGGCGGGAGAACAAGUUGGAAGUGAAAUCCAUGGGCUCAACCCAUGAACUGCUUUCAAAACUGUUUUUCUUGAGUAGUGCAG